This 460-nucleotide ribosomal RNA is filed under the name uncultured bacterium. RNAcentral's name for it is "partial 16S ribosomal RNA". It matches the Rfam family "Bacterial small subunit ribosomal RNA", at positions 338 to 795 of the family's 1533-position model. The record is from RNAcentral.
CCUACGGGAGGCAGCAGUGAGGAAUAUUGGUCAAUGGGCUUACGCCUGAACCAGCCAAGUCGCGUGAGGGAAGACUGCCCUAUGGGUUGUAAACCUCUUUUGUCAGGGAGCAACUCCGGCUACGUGUAGCCGGACUGAGAGUACCUGAAGAAAAAGCAUCGGCUAACUCCGUGCCAGCAGACGCGGUACUACGGAGGAUGCGAGCGUUAUCCGGAUUUAUUGGGUUUACAGGGUGCGUAGGCGGAAUGCCAAGUCAGCGGUAAAAUCGCGGGGCUCAACCUCGCUCCGCCGUUGAAACUGGCGUUCUUGAGUGGGCGAGAAGUAUGCGGAAUGCGUGGUGUAGCGGUGAAAUGCAUAGAUAUCACGCAGAACUCCGAUUGCGAAGGCAGCAUACCGGCGCCCAACUGACGCUGAAGCACGAAAGCGUGGGUAGCGAACAGGAUUAGAUACCCCGGUAGUC